RNAcentral lists this ribosomal RNA (465 nucleotides) under uncultured bacterium. RNAcentral's name for it is "partial 16S ribosomal RNA". It matches the Rfam family "Bacterial small subunit ribosomal RNA", at positions 28 to 507 of the family's 1533-position model. The record is from RNAcentral.
GACGAACGCUGGCGGCGUGCUUAACACAUGCAAGUCGAACGGAAAGGCCCCUUCGGGGGUACUCGAGUGGCGAACGGGUGAGUAACACGUGAGUAACCUGCCCUUGACUUCGGGAUAACUUCAGGAAACUGGGGCUAAUACCGGAUGGGAAUCCUUACUGCAUGGUGGGGGUUGGAAAGCUUCGGCGGUUUUGGAUGGACUCGCGGCUUAUCAGCUUGUUGGUGGGGUAGUGGCUUACCAAGGCUUUGACGGGUAGCCGGCCUGAGAGGGCGACCGGCCACAUUGGGACUGAGAUACGGCCCAGACUCCUACGGGAGGCAGCAGUGGGGAAUAUUGCACAAUGGGCGGAAGCCUGAUGCAACAACGCCGCGUGCGGGAUGACGGCCUUCGGGUUGUAAACCGCUUUCAGCAGGGGCGAAGCUUGUGGUGACGGUACCUGCAGAAGAAGCACCGGCUAACUACGUG